Long non-coding RNA from Oncorhynchus tshawytscha (Chinook salmon), 735 nucleotides. Lineage: Eukaryota; Metazoa; Chordata; Actinopteri; Salmoniformes; Salmonidae. The record is from Ensembl.
GUGGGGUUUUUUCUUCUCAAAGCGUUCUCUCUUGUCUUGAACACAAUCAUAAUAAGUUAUCUGUGUGUAUGUAGUAAUGUAGCUGUGUGUAUGUAGUAAUGUAGCUGUGUGUAUGUAGUAAUGUAGCUGUGUGUAUGUAGUAAUGUAGCUGUGUGUAUGUAGUAAUGUAGCUGUUUGUAUGUAGUAAUGUAGCUGUGUGUAUGUAGUACUGUAUCUGUGUGUAUGUAGUAAUGUAAUGUAGCUGUGUGUAUGUAGUAAUGUAAUGUAGCUGUGUGUAUGUAGUAAUGUAGCUGUGUGUAUGUAGUAAUGUAAUGUAGCUGUGUGUAUGUAGUAAUGUAAUGUAGCUGUGUGUAUGUAGUAAUGUAGCUGUGUGUAUGUAGUAAUGUAAUGUAGCUGUGUGUAUGUAGUAAUGUAAUGUAGCUGUGUGUAUGUAGUAAUGUAGCUGUGUGUAUGUAGUAAUGUAGCUGUGUGUAUGUAGUAAUGUAAUGUAGCUGUGUGUAUGUAGUAAUGUAAUGUAGCUCUGUGUAUGUAGUAAUAUAAUGUAGCUGUGUGUAAUGUAGCUGUGUGUAAUGUAGCUGUGUGUAUGUAGUAAUGUAAUGUAGCUGUGUGUAUGUAGUAAUGUAAUGUAGCUGUGUGUAUGUAGUAAUAUAAUGUAGCUGUGUGUAUGUAGUAAUGUAAUGUAGCUGUGUGUAUGUAGUAAUAUAAUGUAGCUGUGUGUAUGUAGUAAUGUAAUGU